Galleria mellonella (greater wax moth) is the source of this 591-nucleotide long non-coding RNA. RefSeq lists it as uncharacterized. NCBI's taxonomy places the organism in Eukaryota, Metazoa, Arthropoda, Insecta, Lepidoptera, Pyralidae. The transcript has 3 exons. The record is from RefSeq and is a predicted model, not a curated record.
UGUAAUAAAAGACCAUAUUACAUUUUCUAAAUGAUACUUUGGAACAGUAAGUUUGUACCUAUUUAUAUGUAAUGUUAAGAUUAUCAAGAUCGCUGUUUUUGUAGGUGUUAAUUUAUUGUGUAUAAAAUUAUAUUGAAGUGCAUUAUCUAAGUGGGUAUAGAAGGGCGAUAUCUAUUUAAAGAUUAAUGCUUGCCUUUUUGCUCCGACACUCUCCGUGCAGGCUCGGGACAGUCAGCCAGGCAGGUGUCAAUAUUACUGAAAACCAACAUUAAUAAUCCUGUAGAAUAAUUUAUACUCUUCUAAGUUCCCCCACACAUUAUAACGGUCAGAGGUCGCGUUAUUUCGAUCCCUGGGCAGCCUCCGGGUAUCGUAUUCAUAAACAAGUGCAGCGGAAGUUUGGCAGCAAGUUUUUGCGUAUUUACGAGCUACGGCAGUGCUUCGGCACCGGUUACUGGGGGCACGAUGUGCAGCAAUCCCAAUUCCCAUGUCCUAUCAGGGGGUAGGUGUUAUAAAACCGUGAACGGACUUCUACGAAGUGAUUAAACAGCAACUUCUGUCUAAUGGAUAUGACGUUAACCCAAAGGCGCAUUU